UACAGAGGGGGCAAGCGUUGUCCGGAUUUACUGGGCGUACAGCGCGCGCAGGCGGUUACGUAUGUGAGCGGUGACAUCCGCGGGCUCAACCCGCGGCGGCCCGCUUACACAGCGCGACUGGAGGCAGGGAGAGGGAUGUGGAAUACCCGGUGGAGCGGUGAAAUGCGUAGAGAUCGGGUGGAACACCAGCGGCGAAGGCGGCAUCCUGGCCCUGAACUGACGCUGAGGCGCGAUAGCGUGGGGAGCAAACGGG
Molecule: ribosomal RNA, 253 nt
Filed under: uncultured prokaryote
Description: partial 16S ribosomal RNA
Rfam family: Bacterial small subunit ribosomal RNA
Source: RNAcentral